UACGGAAGGGGGCUAGCGUUGCUCGGAAUCACUGGGCGUAAAGCGCACGUAGGCGGCUUUUUAAGUCAGGGGUGAAAUCCUGGAGCUCAACUCCAGAACUGCCUUUGAUACUGAGAGCUUGAGUCCGGGAGAGGUGAGUGGAACUGCGAGUGUAGAGGUGAAAUUCGUAGAUAUUCGCAAGAACACCAGUGGCGAAGGCGGCUCACUGGCCCGGUACUGACGCUGAGGUGCGAAAGCGUGGGGAGCAAACAGGG
Molecule: ribosomal RNA, 254 nt
Filed under: uncultured bacterium
Lineage: Bacteria
Description: partial 16S ribosomal RNA
Rfam family: Bacterial small subunit ribosomal RNA
Source: RNAcentral